CUUGUUGCUUUUUUCCAUGUGUCCUCUCCACUUUCUUCUUCUCACCUCUUUCAUGAAAAAAAUUUCAAUAAUCUAUAGAUAUCUAUGAACUAACUCUUUUUUGUCUUCUAUGCCCCAUGGAUCUCUUUCUUUUUGGCCAUGUCUUUUUUUUCUUUUCUUAAGUUUUAUUUCCAAUUUUGUUUUUUUGUCCCAAAUUAGGGGUUAGGGCAGCAUUGUCUUUAAGUAUUUAUUGUUCAUAUAUUAUAUGCAUUUAUAACUUAUAAGAAUCAUAUAGUAGCAUACCGUAAAAAAAUUAAUAAAUACCAUUCCUUAACCAUAAUAUUUUGAAUCAAUCAUCUCACUUUGAAUUUAGGGUUCUAGAGAAAAUGUGUUUAUGAGAAGGGGUGAGAAGAGUGUUUUUUUUCUGAUUUACAGAAAUGUCAAUGAGUAACAUUAUAUUUUAAAUACAUCAUUUCUUUCUCUCUCUUCAAUCACUCUUUCCGUUUCUCCGAAACCCUCGAUCUCUUUCUUCAAUUUCUCUUCAUCUCCCCCGUGAUUUGAUUGAAUUGCUCAUCAUUCUUUCUCAAUGACUCAUAAAUUCUUGAUGAGAGGCUUUGGCACAAGCAACCUAACCCGGCCUUCUUUCUGCUCCAGUCAAUUCUCUCGUGAAGUCUCUCCUUUAGAAACUUGCAAUCUUUUAGGUAGACGACUUAGAGGAAAAGCAAGUUUCACUGUAGGAUUUGUUGCAAAUAUUGUAGGUUCAGCGGGAGGAUCUAUAUUAUAUAUGUUUAAAGAAAAAUCACACUGUAAAGAACAGUCAGCAGAUGAUGGCAAGAGGAGAGAGUAAAUUAAAUAGUAUAUAAUUCAAAAGAUUGUCGACUAAGCAUUCAUUCACUGCCAAUCGAAGAGAAUCAUCUGAUAGUAUCAACCGUGAUAGUGCCCGUGUGCUUAAACUGAAAUGACAGCACAUAACACACUGAGUUUACUAAUCAGGUGUGUUCUAUAGAGCAGUCAGCUGAUGAGUUGAAAGAUCGCUACCAGAAAUUAUUUAAAGGAUAUAAGAAGUUUAUGUGUUUAUGUGCUGAGACAAACUUCAAAGAAACUUUUUUGGCAACAGUUUGCAAGAGGUAUGCCUCUAACUUUUAUUUUAAUACUUAGUCUAAUCAUAAGUACUCUCUAUCUUAUUUUUGUUAAUUUCUUUGUUGAAUAUUUGAAUUAUAUAUAUAUGUUGAGUGUAUUAGAAACAUGGGGAACUUUCUCGUUGAAAGAUGGCAACAUCAACUGUCAGUCUUUUGGGAUCUGGUUUUUGUAAGGACAAAUUUUCACAAGAGAUUUAAAUGUUUCUAUAAAUGUUUCUAAUACAGGUAGACUCAAGAAUGAGUGCACGGUUAGUUAGAGGUCAAUCCUUUCUGGGGUACUCCAAUUAGCCCUUUUGCUUGUCUAUCUGCAGAUAUAUGUACAUAUUUAUAUUGGCAAUAUGCUGAUGCAGCAUAUACAAUUUACAGUGUUUAUGUUUCUCUGAUAUUUUAAGUCUUUUUGGCUCCUUAUAAUUUUGUUAAACGAGUCCAUUUGAAGUGGUUGUUGUUUGUUUGUGUUCAAUCUUAUUCAUUAUUAUCAUCAUUAUUAUUAUUUUAGGAUAUCUUGUGCUAUGUAUUUCCCAGCAUUGAUUUUGAUAUGCAUUUAAUUCAUAUAUUUUUUAUUUUUAUUGCUUUAUCAUGAAAAUAUUUAGGUAAUUGUUGUUGCUUUGAACAUGAAAGAACUUAUUAAGGCAUUCUUACUAUGGAAUGAAGUAACUUUGGAAAGCUCAAUUAUAGAUUUGUAUUUGACAUAACGUAUUUUAUUUUAUACAAUCUUGUAACAAAAAUCUACUCCUUGCUGAACUUUGAUGAUGUACUUGUUCCUGCCGAUCAUGUGAGCCGAAGUUAUGCUAUAACAUCAAGGAUCUCAUUGUAAUGCUCAGUUAUCAACUUCUUAACCACAGGUUAUGGAUCAACUUGGCAAGGAGCAUUGCAAAGUUAAUUAACUUGAUUAUUAAUUGCAAGAGAUUCAACAAGUGAAGUGCAAAAGAAAAUCUGAUUUGGACGGCUUUGGUGUGCUGACAUUUGGAAGAUCAUGAAUUCCUACCUGUGCUUUUGAAUAUGAAACUGUUUAAGACUAUUUUGUUGACUACUGUGAGAAUGUUUUGUUUAUGUUAAUUAGGUAGUGUUGAAUAUAUUAAGACUUUUGGAUUGUUUUUUAGAUAAUCUUGAAUGUAUUUUGACACAAUUAUUUAGUUAUAUGUGUUAUGAAACAUAUAAUUGGUACUCAAAAAUAUAUUUGUACAA
This is an RNA transcript of Humulus lupulus (European hop), 2303 nucleotides long. RefSeq lists it as uncharacterized. The record is from RefSeq and is a predicted model, not a curated record. The transcript is spliced from 6 exons. NCBI's taxonomy places the organism in Eukaryota, Viridiplantae, Streptophyta, Magnoliopsida, Rosales, Cannabaceae.